UUGGGCGUUCCGCAAAAAAAGCGUGUGACUACAUGUCCCAGCGACGGUUUUUGGUACCGGCAUUCGCAGGUUCGAAUCCUGCCGCCCCAGCCA
Molecule: transfer RNA, 93 nt
Filed under: Sphingomonas endophytica
Lineage: Bacteria; Pseudomonadati; Pseudomonadota; Alphaproteobacteria; Sphingomonadales; Sphingomonadaceae
Description: tRNA-Gln
Source: RNAcentral